This 468-nucleotide ribosomal RNA is filed under the name uncultured bacterium. RNAcentral describes it as "partial 16S ribosomal RNA". It matches the Rfam family "Bacterial small subunit ribosomal RNA", at positions 28 to 507 of the family's 1533-position model. The record is from RNAcentral.
GACGAACGCUGGCGGCGUGCUUAACACAUGCAAGUCGAACGGAAAGGCCCUGCUUUUGUGGGGUGCUCGAGUGGCGAACGGGUGAGUAACACGUGAGUAACCUGCCCUUGACUUUGGGAUAACUUCAGGAAACUGGGGCUAAUACCGGAUAGGAGCUCCUGCUGCAUGGUGGGGGUUGGAAAGUUUCGGCGGUUGGGGAUGGACUCGCGGCUUAUCAGCUUGUUGGUGGGGUAGUGGCUUACCAAGGCUUUGACGGGUAGCCGGCAUGAGAGGGUGACCGGCCACAUUGGGACUGAGAUACGGCCCAGACUCCUACGGGAGGCAGCAGGGGGGAAUAUUGCACAAUGGGCGGAAGCCUGAUGCAGCAACGCCGCGUGCGGGAUGACGGCCUUCGGGUUGUAAACCGCUUUCGCCUGUGACGAAGCGUGAGUGACGGUAAUGGGUAAAGAAGCACCGGCUAACUACGUG